Molecule: non-coding RNA, 73 nt
Organism: Bos taurus (domestic cattle)
Lineage: Eukaryota; Metazoa; Chordata; Mammalia; Artiodactyla; Bovidae
Source: Rfam
UCCCUGGUGGUCCAGUGGUUGGGACUCUGAACUUCCAGUGCAGGGGGCACGGGUUCAAUCCCUGGUUGGGGAG